RNAcentral lists this ribosomal RNA (279 nucleotides) under uncultured bacterium. RNAcentral's name for it is "partial 16S ribosomal RNA". It matches the Rfam family "Bacterial small subunit ribosomal RNA", at positions 506 to 784 of the family's 1533-position model. The record is from RNAcentral.
UGCCAGCAGCCGCGGUAAUACGGAAGGUGCGAGCGUUAAUCGGAAUUACUGGGCGUAAAGCGCGCGUAGGCGGCUUUGUAAGUCGGAUGUGAAAGCCCUGGGCUUAACCUGGGAAUUGCAUUCGAUACUGCAGAGCUAGAGUAUGGUAGAGGGAAGUGGAAUUUCCGGUGUAGCGGUGAAAUGCGUAGAUAUCGGAAGGAACACCAGUGGCGAAGGCGACUUCCUGGCCCAAAACUGACGCUGAGGUGCGAAAGCGUGGGUAGCGAACAGGAUUAGAUA